UGCUCCGCAAGGGUAAUUAUGCCGAGC
This 27-nucleotide non-coding RNA is filed under the name Homo sapiens (human). The record is from RNAcentral. Lineage: Eukaryota; Metazoa; Chordata; Mammalia; Primates; Hominidae.